CCUACGGGUGGCAGCAGUGGGGAAUAUUGGACAAUGGGCGAAAGCCUGAUCCAGCCAUGCCGCGUGUGUGAAGAAGGCCUUCGGGUUGUAAAGCACUUUCAGUGGGGAAGAAAGCCUUGGGGCUAAUACCCUCGAGGAAGGACAUCACCCACAGAAGAAGCACCGGCUAACUCCGUGCCAGCAGCCGCGGUAAUACGGAGGGUGCGAGCGUUAAUCGGAAUUACUGGGCGUAAAGCGCGCGUAGGCGGUCUGAUAAGCCGGUUGUGAAAGCCCCGGGCUCAACCUGGGAACGGCAUCCGGAACUGUCAGGCUAGAGUGCAGGAGAGGAAGGUAGAAUUCCCGGUGUAGCGGUGAAAUGCGUAGAGAUCGGGAGGAAUACCACUGGCGAAGGCGGCCUUCUGGACUGACACUGACGCUGAGGUGCGAAAGCGUGGGUAGCAAACAGGAUUAGAUACCCGAGUAGU
This 464-nucleotide ribosomal RNA is filed under the name Vreelandella stevensii. RNAcentral describes it as "partial 16S ribosomal RNA". It matches the Rfam family "Bacterial small subunit ribosomal RNA", at positions 338 to 794 of the family's 1533-position model. The record is from RNAcentral. Lineage: Bacteria; Pseudomonadati; Pseudomonadota; Gammaproteobacteria; Oceanospirillales; Halomonadaceae.